RNAcentral lists this ribosomal RNA (488 nucleotides) under uncultured bacterium. Its description in RNAcentral is "partial 16S ribosomal RNA". It matches the Rfam family "Bacterial small subunit ribosomal RNA", at positions 30 to 507 of the family's 1533-position model. The record is from RNAcentral.
AUUGAACGCUGGCGGCAGGCCUAACACAUGCAAGUCGAACGGUAGCACAGAGAGCUUGCUCUCGGGUGACGAGUGGCGGACGGGUGAGUAAUGUCUGGGAAACUGCCCGAUGGAGGGGGAUAACUACUGGAAACGGUAGCUAAUACCGCAUAAUGUCGCAAGACCAAAGAGGGGGACCUUCGGGCCUCUUGCCAUCGGAUGUGCCCAGAUGGGAUUAGCUUGUUGGUGAGGUAAUGGCUCACCAAGGCGACGAUCCCUAGCUGGUCUGAGAGGAUGACCAGCCACACUGGAGCUGAGCCACGGUCCAGACUCCUACGGGAGGCAGCAGUGGCGAAUAUUGCACACUGGGCGCAAGCCUGAUGCAGCCAUGCCGCGUGUGUGAAGAAGCCCUUCGGGUUGUAAAGCACUUUCAGCGGGGAGGAAGGCAAUGCGGUUAAUAACCGUGUUGAUUGACGUUCCCCGCAGAAGAAGCACCGGCUAACUCCGUG